GUGGGGAAUAUUGGACAAUGGGGGGAACCCUGAUCCAGCCAUGCCGCGUGUGUGAAGAAGGCCUUUUGGUUGUAAAGCACUUUAAGCGAGGAGGAGGCUACCGAGAUUAAUACUCUUGGAUAGUGGACGUUACUCGCAGAAUAAGCACCGGCUAACUCUGUGCCAGCAGCCGCGGUAAUACAGAGGGUGCAAGCGUUAAUCGGAUUUACUGGGCGUAAAGCGCGCGUAGGUGGCCAAUUAAGUCAAAUGUGAAAUCCCCGAGCUUAACUUGGGAAUUGCAUUCGAUACUGGUUGGCUAGAGUAUGGGAGAGGAUGGUAGAAUUCCAGGUGUAGCGGUGAAAUGCGUAGAGAUCUGGAGGAAUACCGAUGGCGAAGGCAGCCAUCUGGCCUAAUACUGACACUGAGGUGCGAAAGCAUGGGAGCAAACAGGAUUAGAAACCCGGGUAGUCC
RNAcentral lists this ribosomal RNA (450 nucleotides) under uncultured bacterium. Its description in RNAcentral is "partial 16S ribosomal RNA". It matches the Rfam family "Bacterial small subunit ribosomal RNA", at positions 354 to 796 of the family's 1533-position model. The record is from RNAcentral.